Long non-coding RNA from Quercus robur (English oak), 1030 nucleotides. RefSeq lists it as uncharacterized. NCBI's taxonomy places the organism in Eukaryota, Viridiplantae, Streptophyta, Magnoliopsida, Fagales, Fagaceae. The transcript is spliced from 2 exons. The record is from RefSeq and is a predicted model, not a curated record.
ACAGUUUGGCCGUGUAAUCCAUAGAAAGUUUGGUGGUAAAUCCCUAUUUCUAUCUCCUCAUAAUCAUUUUUUCUCUUCUUGGAAGAAUAUGAAACUUAAUCUUAAAAUGAACUUUUAGACUCUAAUUCUUAUAGGGCUCCCAAGUUGGAACCCUUCUAUAUUUUUCUCUAUAAAAUUGAAUGACAAUUGCCUUUAAGAUUAUGUAUUUGAAAGUUAGGGGAACUAUUAUGUACUCUAUAAUGAAUAGGAACUAUUUGUGGUGCUUUCUGACAGAUUAAGCUUCUAGAGAUAGUUGUGUAAAGCUUAUUUAAUUGCUAAAAAGAGUUUCUUAAAUUGCCAAAAUGUGUUUUGAAUUUGCUUCUCAAUAUUGCUUCCUUAACAUAUAAAGGGCUUGAUGAUUAGUGAAUAAAAUUGAAAUGCAUCUUACAUGAUAUUAUUAUGAAUAUAGAUAUUUCAAGUCAUUUUGCAACAACGUAUGUGAAAUCUAACAGCAUCUGAUGUCCAUAACUAGAUUCUGUAAGCAGCAAACCAUACAUUUGAUUGGAUUUGUGAAUGCUAAAUAUGUGCUCUUUAAUGAACAGGAACUAGAUUCUCUCGACAUUAUUAGACUUUUCACUUUUGUGAGGUGCAAACUGGAAUUUUGUGUAUGGACAUGAUGCUAUAGAUUUCUGUUGGGUAUCAGUAUAGCCAAUUCAUAUUUCAUGGGGCUGGUAUCUCACCCUUUCAAUUGCCAGGUGCUCUAUACAAAGGCAUAUAUUAAUUUUGAAAUAUCAAAGGGUGUGGUUGAAUGGAUCAGAGAGCUUGAUGAGAGACUUAUAGACAUAUUAAAGCAUUUGAAGGUCUGGAUAAGCCAUAAAAAGUUGGAGGUUACUUUUAACUUUGUGCCUAGAUAGAAUAAACCACUCAAAUUUCUUAUAUUGGUGUACUGUUUUAAGAGAUUUGAGCUUUUAUAGGACUUUGAACUUCUGUUAAUAUUCAUGUAUUACUUAAGGUUUUUUUUUUGUAUGGAAACUUCCAUAUGGAUCUAACA